GAGUUUGAUCCUGGCUCAGGGUGAACGCUGGCGGCGUGCCCAACACAUGCAAGUCGAGCGCCCAGCACUUUUUAUUGGAUUUUUUUGAUCAAAUAAAGGGUGCUGGGAGCGGCGAACGGGUGAGUAACGCGUUGGAACCUGCCCCGAAGUGAGGGAUAAGCACCAGAAAUGGUGUCUAAUACCUCAUGUGAUCUACGGAUUAAAGAUUUAUCGCUUCGGGAGGGUCCUACGCGCUGAUUAGCUUGUUGGUAAGGUAAUGGCUUACCAAGGCGACGAUCAGUAGCUGGUCUGAGAGGAUGAUCAGCCACACUGGGACUGAGAUACGGCCCAGACUCCUACGGGAGGCAGCAGUCGGGAAUUUUGCACAAUGGACGAAAGUCUGAUGCAGCGACGCCGCGUGCAGGAUGACGGCCUUAGGGUUUUAAACUGCUUUUAUGUGGGAAGAUUAUGACGGUACCACAUGAAUAAGGAUUGCCUAACUCCGUGCCAGCAAUCGCGGUCAUACGAAGGAUC
This 513-nucleotide ribosomal RNA is filed under the name uncultured bacterium. RNAcentral's name for it is "bacterial SSU rRNA". It matches the Rfam family "Bacterial small subunit ribosomal RNA", at positions 9 to 534 of the family's 1533-position model. The record is from RNAcentral.